AAGUCGUAACAAGGUUUCCGUAGGUGAACCUGCGGAAGGAUCAUUAACGUGUUUGGGUCCCCUCGGGGGCCCGACAUCCCACCCUUUGUUGUCACUUCAAUGCGUUGCUUCGGCGGGACGGACGCCCUGCGUCCGCCGGGCCCCAAAAAACGCCCGGAGAGCUCCCGCCGGGGUCAUACAAACUCUAGCCUUUGAACGAGUCGUCAGAGUGGAAUUUACAAAUAAUUCAAAACUUUCAACAACGGAUCUCUUGGUUCUGGCAUCGAUGAAGAACGCAGCGAAAUGCGAUAAGUAAUGUGAAUUGCAGAAUUCAGUGAAUCAUCGAAUCUUUGAACGCACAUUGCGCCCCUCGGCAUUCCGGGGGGCAUGCCUGUUCGAGCGUCAUUACAACCAUCAAGCACAGCUUGGCAUUGGGCCCCGCCCGCGGCCCUCACCGGCCCCGGGCGCGCCCCAAAACCGUCGGCAGAGUCAGCGAACCGCCGGGCGUAGCAGAAAAGGAAGGCGAGAGCCGACCCCUCACGUCCGACGGCCGCGGUCCCGCGCCGUUAAACCCCCAGGGCGCGCCUCCGGCGCGUCCGACCUCUCAAGGUUGACCUCGGAUCAGGUAGGGAUACCCGCUGAACUUAA
RNAcentral lists this ribosomal RNA (627 nucleotides) under uncultured fungus. RNAcentral's name for it is "eukaryotic LSU rRNA". The stretch from base 231 to 384 matches the Rfam family "5.8S ribosomal RNA". The record is from RNAcentral. Lineage: Eukaryota; Fungi.